GGGUUGUGAGGUUAAGCGACUAAGCGUACACGGUGGAUGCCCUGGCAGUCAGAGGCGAUGAAGGACGUGCUAAUCUGCGAUAAGCGUCGGUAAGGUGAUAUGAACCGUUAUAACCGGCGAUUUCCGAAUGGGGAAACCCAGUGUGAUUCAUCACACUAUCAUUAACUGAAUCCAUAGGUUAAUGAGGCGAACCGGGGGAACUGAAACAUCUAAGUACCCCGAGGAAAAGAAAUCAACCGAGAUUCCCCCAGUAGCGGCGAGCGAACGGGGAGGAGCCCAGAGCCUGAAUCAGUGUGUGUGUUAGUGGAAGCGUCUGGAAAGGCGCGCGAUACAGGGUGACAGCCCCGUACACAAAAAUGCACAUACUGUGAGCUCGAUGAGUAGGGCGGGACACGUGGUAUCCUGUCUGAAUAUGGGGGGACCAUCCUCCAAGGCUAAAUACUCCUGACUGACCGAUAGUGAACCAGUACCGUGAGGGAAAGGCGAAAAGAACCCCGGCGAGGGGAGUGAAAAAGAACCUGAAACCGUGUACGUACAAGCAGUGGGAGCCUCUUUAUGGGGUGACUGCGUACCUUUUGUAUAAUGGGUCAGCGACUUAUAUUCUGUAGCAAGGUUAACCGAAUAGGGGAGCCGAAGGGAAACCGAGUCUUAACUGGGCGUUAAGUUGCAGGGUAUAGACCCGAAACCCGGUGAUCUAGCCAUGGGCAGGUUGAAGGUUGGGUAACACUAACUGGAGGACCGAACCGACUAAUGUUGAAAAAUUAGCGGAUGACUUGUGGCUGGGGGUGAAAGGCCAAUCAAACCGGGAGAUAGCUGGUUCUCCCCGAAAGCUAUUUAGGUAGCGCCUCGUGAAUUCAUCUCCGGGGGUAGAGCACUGUUUCGGCAAGGGGGUCAUCCCGACUUACCAACCCGAUGCAAACUGCGAAUACCGGAGAAUGUUAUCACGGGAGACACACGGCGGGUGCUAACGUCCGUCGUGAAGAGGGAAACAACCCAGACCGCCAGCUAAGGUCCCAAAGUCAUGGUUAAGUGGGAAACGAUGUGGGAAGGCCCAGACAGCCAGGAUGUUGGCUUAGAAGCAGCCAUCAUUUAAAGAAAGCGUAAUAGCUCACUGGUCGAGUCGGCCUGCGCGGAAGAUGUAACGGGGCUAAACCAUGCACCGAAGCUGCGGCAGCGACACUAUGUGUUGUUGGGUAGGGGAGCGUUCUGUAAGCCUGUGAAGGUGUACUGUGAGGUAUGCUGGAGGUAUCAGAAGUGCGAAUGCUGACAUAAGUAACGAUAAAGCGGGUGAAAAGCCCGCUCGCCGGAAGACCAAGGGUUCCUGUCCAACGUUAAUCGGGGCAGGGUGAGUCGACCCCUAAGGCGAGGCCGAAAGGCGUAGUCGAUGGGAAACAGGUUAAUAUUCCUGUACUUGGUGUUACUGCGAAGGGGGGACGGAGAAGGCUAUGUUGGCCGGGCGACGGUUGUCCCGGUUUAAGCGUGUAGGCUGGUUUUCCAGGCAAAUCCGGAAAAUCAAGGCUGAGGCGUGAUGACGAGGCACUACGGUGCUGAAGCAACAAAUGCCCUGCUUCCAGGAAAAGCCUCUAAGCAUCAGGUAACAUCAAAUCGUACCCCAAACCGACACAGGUGGUCAGGUAGAGAAUACCAAGGCGCUUGAGAGAACUCGGGUGAAGGAACUAGGCAAAAUGGUGCCGUAACUUCGGGAGAAGGCACGCUGAUAUGUAGGUGAAGCGACUUGCUCGUGGAGCUGAAAUCAGUCGAAGAUACCAGCUGGCUGCAACUGUUUAUUAAAAACACAGCACUGUGCAAACACGAAAGUGGACGUAUACGGUGUGACGCCUGCCCGGUGCCGGAAGGUUAAUUGAUGGGGUUAGCGGUAACGCGAAGCUCUUGAUCGAAGCCCCGGUAAACGGCGGCCGUAACUAUAACGGUCCUAAGGUAGCGAAAUUCCUUGUCGGGUAAGUUCCGACCUGCACGAAUGGCGUAAUGAUGGCCAGGCUGUCUCCACCCGAGACUCAGUGAAAUUGAACUCGCUGUGAAGAUGCAGUGUACCCGCGGCAAGACGGAAAGACCCCGUGAACCUUUACUAUAGCUUGACACUGAACAUUGAGCCUUGAUGUGUAGGAUAGGUGGGAGGCUUUGAAGUGUGGACGCCAGUCUGCAUGGAGCCGGCCUUGAAAUACCACCCUUUAAUGUUUGAUGUUCUAACGUUGGCCCGUAAUCCGGGUUGCGGACAGUGUCUGGUGGGUAGUUUGACUGGGGCGGUCUCCUCCUAAAGAGUAACGGAGGAGCACGAAGGUUGGCUAAUCCUGGUCGGACAUCAGGAGGUUAGUGCAAUGGCAUAAGCCAGCUUGACUGCGAGCGUGACGGCGCGAGCAGGUGCGAAAGCAGGUCAUAGUGAUCCGGUGGUUCUGAAUGGAAGGGCCAUCGCUCAACGGAUAAAAGGUACUCCGGGGAUAACAGGCUGAUACCGCCCAAGAGUUCAUAUCGACGGCGGUGUUUGGCACCUCGAUGUCGGCUCAUCACAUCCUGGGGCUGAAGUAGGUCCCAAGGGUAUGGCUGUUCGCCAUUUAAAGUGGUACGCGAGCUGGGUUUAGAACGUCGUGAGACAGUUCGGUCCCUAUCUGCCGUGGGCGCUGGAGAACUGAGGGGGCUGCUCCUAGUACGAGAGGACCGGAGUGGACGCAUCACUGGUGUUCGGGUUGUCAUGCCAAUGGCACUGCCCGGUAGCUAAAUGCGGAAGAGAUAAGUGCUGAAAGCAUCUAAGCACGAAACUUGCCCCGAGAUGAGUUCUCCCUGACUCCUUGAGAGUCCUGAAGGAACGUUGAAGACGACGACGUUGAUAGGCCGGGUGUGUAAGCGCAGCGAUGCGUUGAGCUAACCGGUACUAAUGAACCGUGAGGCUUAACCUUACAACGCCGAAGGUGUUU
This 2930-nucleotide ribosomal RNA is filed under the name Escherichia coli. RNAcentral describes it as "bacterial LSU rRNA". It matches the Rfam family "Bacterial large subunit ribosomal RNA". The record is from RNAcentral. Lineage: Bacteria; Pseudomonadati; Pseudomonadota; Gammaproteobacteria; Enterobacterales; Enterobacteriaceae.